This 276-nucleotide ribosomal RNA is filed under the name Triticum aestivum (bread wheat). RNAcentral describes it as "partial small subunit ribosomal RNA". The record is from RNAcentral. Lineage: Eukaryota; Viridiplantae; Streptophyta; Magnoliopsida; Poales; Poaceae.
CUACAACUCAACUGUACAAAGAGCUGCUGUUCUGAAAUCGAUGGGCACACUGACGGGGGGAUAUGUGGUGAACACUCUCCAUUUCCUUGCCAGCGGGUUAUAAACAUGAAACUCCAAAGCCAGCCUCUUCUUUAACUGCCUCCGAGGAUGGAGGGUUUCGGCAGGAAGUUUGGCAGAUUUAAGCACAUGCAGUUCACCGUUCAAUGAUACGAAGCCACACAGAUCAGUCUCUGGGAUCUUUCUCCUCAAAGUAGCCUCCUUCGACCACCCGUUUGA